Molecule: ribosomal RNA, 1385 nt
Filed under: Paraphoma sp. B47-9
Lineage: Eukaryota; Fungi; Ascomycota; Dothideomycetes; Pleosporales; Phaeosphaeriaceae
Description: eukaryotic LSU rRNA
Rfam family: Eukaryotic large subunit ribosomal RNA
Source: RNAcentral
AUAUCAAUAAGCGGAGGAAAAGAAACCAACAGGGAUUGCCCUAGUAACGGCGAGUGAAGCGGCAACAGCUCAAAUUUGAAAUCUGGCUCUUUCAGAGUCCGAGUUGUAAUUUGCAGAGGGCGCUUUGGUGUUGGCAGCGGUCCAAGUUCCUUGGAACAGGACGUCACAGAGGGUGAGAAUCCCGUACGUGGUCGCUAGCCUUCGCCGUGUAAAGCCCCUUCGACGAGUCGAGUUGUUUGGGAAUGCAGCUCUAAAUGGGAGGUAAAUUUCUUCUAAAGCUAAAUACUGGCCAGAGACCGAUAGCGCACAAGUAGAGUGAUCGAAAGAUGAAAAGCACUUUGGAAAGAGAGUCAAAUAGCACGUGAAAUUGUUGAAAGGGAAGCGCUUGCAGCCAGACUUGCCUGUAGUUGCUUAUCCGGACUUUUGUCCGGUGCACUCUUCUGCGGGCAGGCCAGCAUCAGUUUGGGCGGUUGGAUAAAGGUCUCUGUCAUGUACCUCUCUUCGGGGAGAACUUAUAGGGGAGACGACAUGCAACCAGCCUGGACUGAGGUCCGCGCAUCUGCUAGGAUGCUGGCGUAAUGGCUGUAAGCGGCCCGUCUUGAAACACGGACCAAGGAGUCUAACAUCUAUGCGAGUGUUUGGGUGUCAAGCCCAGACGCGUAAUGAAAGUGAACGGAGGUGGGAACCCUUUGGGUGCACCAUCGACCGAUCCUGAUGUCUUCGGAUGGAUUUGAGUAAGAGCAUGGCUGUUGGGACCCGAAAGAUGGUGAACUAUGCUUGAAUAGGGUGAAGCCAGAGGAAACUCUGGUGGAGGCUCGCAGCGGUUCUGACGUGCAAAUCGAUCGUCAAAUUUGGGCAUAGGGGCGAAAGACUAAUCGAACUAUCUAGUAGCUGGUUCCUGCCGAAGUUUCCCUCAGGAUAGCAGUAACGUAUUCAGUUUUAUGAGGUAAAGCGAAUGAUUAGAGGCCUGGGGGUUGAAACAACCUUCACCUAUUCUCAAACUUUAAAUAUGUAAGAAGUCCUUGUUACUUGAUUGAACGUGGACACUUGAAUGUACCGUUACUAGUGGGCCAUUUUUGGUAAGCAGAACUGGCGAUGCGGGAUGAACCGAACGCGGGGUUAAGGUGCCAGAAUAUACGCUCAUCAGACACCACAAAAGGUGUUAGUUCAUCUAGACAGCAGGACGGUGGCCAUGGAAGUCGGAAUCCGCUAAGGAGUGUGUAACAACUCACCUGCCGAAUGAACUAGCCCUGAAAAUGGAUGGCGCUCAAGCGUGUUACCCAUACCCCGCCGCCGGGGCAGAAUUUAUGCCCCGGCGAGUAGGCAGGCGUGGAGGCUCGUGACGAAGCCUUGGGGGUGACCCCGGGUAGAACGGCCUCUAGUGC